CGUKGGUGAWGAAGSCCUUCGRGUCRUAAAGCCCKRUCUAGAGGGAAGAAAUUSUCAAUGGAAUAAUACCYGUKGAGAKWGACGGUACCUCUGGAGGAAGCACCGGCUAACUCCGUGCCAGCARCCGCGGUAAUACGGAGGGUGCGAGCGUUGUUCGGAAUUACUGGGCGUAAAGCGGGUGUAGGCGGUUUGUUAAGUCAGAUGUGAAAGCCCACGGCUCAACCGUGGAAGUGCAUCUGAAACUGGCUGACUUGAGUACCGGAGAGGGAAGUGGAAUUCCUGGUGUAGGGGUGAAAUCCGUAGAUAUCAGGAGGAACACCGGUGGCGAAGGCGACUUCCUGGACGGAUACUGACGCUGAGAUCCGAAAGCGUGGGGAGCAAACAGGAUUAGAUACCCUGGUAGUCCACGCCCUAAACGAUGGGCACUAGGUGCAGGGGGUGUUGACCCCUCCUGUGCCGCAGCUAACGCAUUAAGUGCCCCGCCUGGGGAGUACGGCCGCAAGGUUG
Molecule: ribosomal RNA, 507 nt
Filed under: uncultured delta proteobacterium
Lineage: Bacteria; Deltaproteobacteria
Description: partial 16S ribosomal RNA
Rfam family: Bacterial small subunit ribosomal RNA
Source: RNAcentral